UACGGAGGGUGCAAGCGUUAAUCGGAAUUACUGGGCGUAAAGGGCUCGUAGGCGGCCAACUAAGUCAUACGUGAAAUCCCCCGGCUUAACCGGGGAACUGCGUCUGAUACUGGAUGGCUUGAGUUCGGGAGAGGGAUGCGGAAUUCCAGGUGUAGCGGUGAAAUGCGUAGAUAUCUGGAGGAACACCGGUGGCGAAGGCGGCAUCCUGGACCGAUACUGACGCUGAGGAGCGAAAGCCAGGGGAGCGAACAGG
This 253-nucleotide ribosomal RNA is filed under the name uncultured bacterium. RNAcentral describes it as "partial 16S ribosomal RNA". It matches the Rfam family "Bacterial small subunit ribosomal RNA", at positions 524 to 776 of the family's 1533-position model. The record is from RNAcentral.